This 497-nucleotide ribosomal RNA is filed under the name uncultured bacterium. RNAcentral describes it as "partial 16S ribosomal RNA". It matches the Rfam family "Bacterial small subunit ribosomal RNA", at positions 28 to 507 of the family's 1533-position model. The record is from RNAcentral.
GAUGAACGCUGGCGGCGUGCCUAAUACAUGCAAGUCGAGCGAACAGACGAGGAGCUUGCUCCUCUGACGUUAGCGGCGGACGGGUGAGUAACACGUGGAUAACCUACCUAUAAGACUGGGAUAACUUCGGGAAACCGGAGCUAAUACCGGAUAAUAUAUUGAACCGCAUGGUUCAAUAGUGAAAGACGGUUUUGCUGUCACUUUUAGAUGGAACCGCGCCGCAUUAGCUAGUUGGUAAGGUAACGGCUUACCAAGGCAACGAUGCGUAGCCGACCUGAGAGGGUGAUCGGCCACACUGGAACUGAGACACGGUCCAGACUCCUACGGGAGGCAGCAGUAGGGAAUCUUCCGCAAUGGGCGAAAGCCUGACGGAGCAACGCCGCGUGAGUGAUGAAGGUCUUCGGAUCGUAAAACUCUGUUAUUAGGGAAGAACAAAUGUGUAAGUAACUAUGCACGUCUUGACGGUACCUAAUCAGAAAGCCACGGCUAACUACGUG